This 1443-nucleotide ribosomal RNA is filed under the name uncultured organism. Its description in RNAcentral is "SSU rRNA". It matches the Rfam family "Bacterial small subunit ribosomal RNA". The record is from RNAcentral.
CAGGCUUAACACAUGCAAGUCGAGGGGCAGCAUGGUCUUAGCUUGCUAAGGCCGAUGGCGACCGGCGCACGGGUGAGUAACACGUAUCCAACCUGCCGUCUACUCUUGGACAGCCUUCUGAAAGGAAGAUUAAUACAAGAUGGCAUCAUGAGUCCGCAUGUUCACAUGAUUAAAGGUAUUCCGGUAGACGAUGGGGAUGCGUUCCAUUAGAUAGUAGGCGGGGUAACGGCCCACCUAGUCUUCGAUGGAUAGGGGUUCUGAGAGGAAGGUCCCCCACAUUGGAACUGAGACACGGUCCAAACUCCUACGGGAGGCAGCAGUGAGGAAUAUUGGUCAAUGGGCGAGAGCCUGAACCAGCCAAGUAGCGUGAAGGAUGACUGCCCUAUGGGUUGUAAACUUCUUUUAUAAAGGAAUAAAGUCGGGUAUGGAUACCCGUUUGCAUGUACUUUAUGAAUAAGGAUCGGCUAACUCCGUGCCAGCAGCCGCGGUAAUACGGAGGAUCCGAGCGUUAUCCGGAUUUAUUGGGUUUAAAGGGAGCGUAGAUGGAUGUUUAAGUCAGUUGUGAAAGUUUGCGGCUCAACCGUAAAAUUGCAGUUGAUACUGGAUAUCUUGAGUGCAGUUGAGGCAGGCGGAAUUCGUGGUGUAGCGGUGAAAUGCUUAGAUAUCACGAAGAACUCCGAUUGCGAAGGCAGCCUGCUAAGCUGCAACUGACAUUGAGGCUCGAAAGUGUGGGUAUCAAACAGGAUUAGAUACCCUGGUAGUCCACACGGUAAACGAUGAAUACUCGCUGUUUGCGAUAUACUGCAAGCGGCCAAGCGAAAGCGUUAAGUAUUCCACCUGGGGAGUACGCCGGCAACGGUGAAACUCAAAGGAAUUGACGGGGGCCCGCACAAGCGGAGGAACAUGUGGUUUAAUUCGAUGAUACGCGAGGAACCUUACCCGGGCUUAAAUUGCAGAUGAAUUACGGUGAAAGCCGUAAGCCGCAAGGCAUCUGUGAAGGUGCUGCAUGGUUGUCGUCAGCUCGUGCCGUGAGGUGUCGGCUUAAGUGCCAUAACGAGCGCAACCCUUGUUGUCAGUUACUAACAGGUUCCGCUGAGGACUCUGACAAGACUGCCAUCGUAAGAUGUGAGGAAGGUGGGGAUGACGUCAAAUCAGCACGGCCCUUACGUCCGGGGCUACACACGUGUUACAAUGGGGGGUACAGAGGGCCGCUACCACGCGAGUGGAUGCCAAUCCCCAAAACCUCUCUCAGUUCGGACUGGAGUCUGCAACCCGACUCCACGAAGCUGGAUUCGCUAGUAAUCGCGCAUCAGCCACGGCGCGGUGAAUACGUUCCCGGGCCUUGUACACACCGCCCGUCAAGCCAUGGGAGCCGGGGGUACCUGAAGUGCGUAACCGCGAGGAGCGCCCUAGGGUAAAACUGGUGACUGGGGCUAAGUCGUA